UUGGGUGACUUGCACAGAAGGUGAGCCAGUGCAUGAGUAUUCUUACAGAUGGAGCUAAACCAUAGAAGCUGUGCUAACGUGAUUCUCCAAAGACCUUCUAACUCUUUUUCCAGCUCUUAUCACUUCCAGAGAGAGCAAGGGGACCUUAACUCGGUUUUAGUAUCAGGAUAUGAAGUGAGUAAGAAAAGUAGCAGUGUUCUGGGCUAUAUAUCACCUAUAUUCAGAGAGAUUAUCUAACAAGGAAGGACAUUUUCUGACCUCUGCUCUGCAAGUGAAAUACAUGUGCCAGAAAAAGCUGGGUCAGGUCUUCUGGAUCUACAUGGUGGUUUACUCCUUGACUGUAUUCUGAUGCCAGUUUCUACAACAUCUCUGUGGGUUUGGAUUAUAU
Molecule: long non-coding RNA, 388 nt
Organism: Pogoniulus pusillus (Red-fronted tinkerbird)
Lineage: Eukaryota; Metazoa; Chordata; Aves; Piciformes; Lybiidae
Exons: 3
Source: RefSeq, a predicted model, not a curated record